This 497-nucleotide ribosomal RNA is filed under the name uncultured bacterium. RNAcentral's name for it is "partial 16S ribosomal RNA". It matches the Rfam family "Bacterial small subunit ribosomal RNA", at positions 28 to 507 of the family's 1533-position model. The record is from RNAcentral.
GAUGAACGCUGGCGGCGUGCCUAAUACAUGCAAGUCGAGCGAACAGACGAGGAGCUUGCUCCUUUGACGUUAGCGGCGGACGGGUGAGUAACACGUAGGUAACCUACCUAUAAGACUGGGGUAACUUCGGGAAACCGGAGCUAAUACCGGAUAAUAUUUCGAACCGCAUGGUUCGAUAGUGAAAGAUGGCUUUGCUAUCACUUAUAGAUGGACCUGCGCCGUAUUAGCUAGUUGGUAAGGUAACGGCUUACCAAGGCAACGAUACGUAGCCGACCUGAGAGGAUGAUCGGCCACACUGGAACUGAGACACGGUCCAGACUCCUACGGGAGGCAGCAGUAGGGAAUCUUCCGCAAUGGGCGAAAGCCUGACGGAGCAACGCCGCGUGAGUGAUGAAGGUCUUCGGAUCGUAAAACUCUGUUAUUAGGGAAGAACAAACGUGUAAGUAACUGUGCACGUCCUGACGGUACCUAAUCAGAAAGCCACGGCUAACUACGUG